Long non-coding RNA from Onthophagus taurus, 1171 nucleotides. RefSeq lists it as uncharacterized. NCBI's taxonomy places the organism in Eukaryota, Metazoa, Arthropoda, Insecta, Coleoptera, Scarabaeidae. The record is from RefSeq and is a predicted model, not a curated record.
UCUAUUUUUAACUUCGUUAACUGAGUGUACUGAGAAUGAGAGAGAGAGAGCGUAUACCGCCAAUAAAGACAGAUGUCAAACUGUUAUGUUUACGUUAAGAAACUAAUAAAAAAUUAUAAAAACUUAAGUCUAUCGAUAAAUGCUCAAACAAAACAAGAAUAACAGUGUUAUUGUGCAUUUUGUUUCUUCAAGACUCGUUAUGUGCCUCUUUCCGUGUUGGAAGGUCCCUCUUAGGAAUGGAAAAUAGACAGGAAUCCGGAAAGCUUCUACUCAGAUAAUUAUUCUUCAAUCAUAUAUUGUUUCGAUCAGGAAUUUUCAGGAAUCAGGUAAUUUCUUCUCAAUUUAUUUCCGAUGUUUAAAUUUUGCUUCUUUUCUUUUUUACGUUAAUAAAAAGAAGUCUAUAUUCAGUGUUAAGUUUGGAUUGAAAUUAUCGGAGCACUAAUUUUAGGUUAGGAAAUUAUUUUGGAUUUUUUUAGGUUAGAUUUUUUAAUCAAAUUUAACAGAGCUCUUACCCUUACUAAAUUGGACUGCCUUUGGUCAACUUUUUCCUCUUCUUAUAUAGCCUUUUCCCCUUCUCCAAUAAAGUUUCUUCCUUUUGUUUAAAACCCUCUAUCCUCAUUGGUAGAUGGGUUUCGCGCCAUUUCUUCUUUUAAAAACAUUUUAAAGAUUUCUAAAUGUCGAAAACGCCAUCUAUCGGAUUUCUUUUGAAUUACCCAAAAAUAAAAAAUUUCUUUUUUUAAAAUCUUCUUUAUUCCUUCAUUAUUCUUGAUGAGACUUCGUAUUUAAUGCAUAUAUCCUUCUAUUUCAAUCAUCCAUUGGAGGUUUCAAAAUUCUCCAACCACAAAAGAAGUUUGAAGUUUACAAAUUUAAAAUCAAAUUUCCAAAGUCAAAAUCUUUCGAAAUCUAAUAAAUUAGAUGUAGCUGACACUGAUUUUACCGUUUUGGAUGGUUUUGAAUGAAUAUUAACAGUUUUAAGAGAAUUAUGAGCAACUAAAAAUUAAAUGUCAAAUGAAUUGAGGUUAUGUCUCUCUCUCUCUCUCUCAGGUAACCUGUCCAAAUCUGUCUUGGAAGCUUUAUUACACUAUAUUAUGGGUAAAGCAGACUGGACCACUGGGAAAAGCUGCAAAAACAUUAUCUAGUGUUUAAUUACAUUAAUUCUUAUGCAUAAUAU